RNAcentral lists this non-coding RNA (21 nucleotides) under Caenorhabditis elegans. The record is from RNAcentral. Lineage: Eukaryota; Metazoa; Nematoda; Chromadorea; Rhabditida; Rhabditidae.
UCAAUUUUGGUAAUUAAUCCG